Molecule: ribosomal RNA, 208 nt
Filed under: uncultured bacterium
Lineage: Bacteria
Description: partial 16S ribosomal RNA
Rfam family: Bacterial small subunit ribosomal RNA
Source: RNAcentral
CGCGUAGGCGGGCGAUCAAGUCCGGGGUGAAAUCUUUCGGCUCAACCGGAAAACUGCCUUGGAUACUGAUCGUCUUGAGGGAGGUAGGGGCAGGUGGAACUUCCGGUGGAGCGGUGAAAUGCGUUGAUAUCGGAAGGAACGCCGGUGGCGAAAGCGGCCUGCUGGAUCUCUUCUGACGCUGAUGCGCGAAAGCUAGGGUAGCGAACGG